Cavia porcellus (domestic guinea pig) is the source of this 74-nucleotide transfer RNA. It matches the Rfam family "tRNA". Rfam says of the family: Transfer RNA (tRNA) molecules are approximately 80 nucleotides in length. Their secondary structure includes four short double-helical elements and three loops (D, anti-codon, and T loops). Further hydrogen bonds mediate the characteristic L-shaped molecular structure. tRNAs have two regions of fundamental functional importance: the anti-codon, which is responsible for specific mRNA codon recognition, and the 3' end, to which the tRNAs corresponding amino acid is attached (by aminoacyl-tRNA synthetases). tRNAs cope with the degeneracy of the genetic code in two manners: having more than one tRNA (with a specific anti-codon) for a particular amino acid; and 'wobble' base-pairing, i.e. permitting non-standard base-pairing at the 3rd anti-codon position. The record is from Rfam. NCBI's taxonomy places the organism in Eukaryota, Metazoa, Chordata, Mammalia, Rodentia, Caviidae.
GGGGGUUUAGCUCAGCAGGCAUAAGCGCCUGCCUCGAAAGCAGGCAGUCAUGAGUUCGAUCCCUGGUACCCUUA